Molecule: transfer RNA, 71 nt
Filed under: Caudoviricetes sp.
Lineage: Duplodnaviria; Heunggongvirae; Uroviricota; Caudoviricetes
Description: tRNA-Gln
Rfam family: tRNA
About the family: Transfer RNA (tRNA) molecules are approximately 80 nucleotides in length. Their secondary structure includes four short double-helical elements and three loops (D, anti-codon, and T loops).
Source: RNAcentral
UAGGGUAUGGUGUAAUGGUAACACUACAGAUUUUGAUUCUGUCAUUCUUGGUUCAAAUCCAAGUACCCUAG